GUAGGUGGCAAGCGUUGUCCGGAAUUAUUGGGCGUAAAGCGCGCGCAGGCGGUUCUUUAAGUCUGAUGUGAAAGCCCACGGCUCAACCGUGGAGGGUCAUUGGAAACUGGAGAACUUGAGUACAGAAGAGGAAAGCGGAAUUCCACGUGUAGCGGUGAAAUGCGUAGAGAUGUGGAGGAACACCAGUGGCGAAGGCGGCUUUCUGGUCUGUAACUGACGCUGAGGCGCGAAAGCGUGGGGGAGCAAACAGGAUUAGAUACCCUGGCAGUCCACGCCGUAAACGAUGAGUGCUAAGUGUUAGGGGGUUUCCGCCCCCCCCUUAGUGCUGCAGCUAACGCAUUAAGCACUCCGCCUGGGAGUACGGCCGCAAGGCUG
Molecule: ribosomal RNA, 375 nt
Filed under: uncultured organism
Description: partial 16S ribosomal RNA
Rfam family: Bacterial small subunit ribosomal RNA
Source: RNAcentral